GGCUGGUCCCAAGGUAGUAAAUUAUCUCAAUUGAUUUUUCACAGUCAGUUAUGGAUCAAAUUCCUUGUUCUACUUUCUCCCCUUCUCACUACUGCACUUGACUAGUCUUAA
Molecule: unclassified non-coding RNA, 111 nt
Organism: Aotus nancymaae (Ma's night monkey)
Lineage: Eukaryota; Metazoa; Chordata; Mammalia; Primates; Aotidae
Rfam family: Y RNA
About the family: Y RNAs are components of the Ro ribonucleoprotein particle (Ro RNP), in association with Ro60 and La proteins. The Y RNAs and Ro60 and La proteins are well conserved, but the function of the Ro RNP is not known.
Source: Ensembl